RNAcentral lists this non-coding RNA (24 nucleotides) under Arabidopsis thaliana (thale cress). Lineage: Eukaryota; Viridiplantae; Streptophyta; Magnoliopsida; Brassicales; Brassicaceae. The record is from RNAcentral.
GCUGCGCCUCCUCCGACAGUUCCA